This 3444-nucleotide unclassified non-coding RNA is filed under the name Hevea brasiliensis (rubber tree). Lineage: Eukaryota; Viridiplantae; Streptophyta; Magnoliopsida; Malpighiales; Euphorbiaceae. The record is from RNAcentral.
CCAACUUCUACUAUUAUUCUUCAUCCCAGUGCAAUGAAUUCAAUAACUUGGAAACAAAAUGUUGCAACAGAACUUCGAUAGCAACAUGAAUAUCUAUUCAUCAUUUUUUCCCCUUUUUUUAAUAAGAACUACAAGAAUAUUGACUCACCAAUUUCAAAUCUCACUCUACCAAAAAUUUUCCUAAACAUAUCUCACUCCUGUGGUUCAAAAAAAUGUACAAAAACGUGUAACAAGAACAAACACUGUCUUGUUUUUUCACGUUCAAAAAAGAAAGAAAAAAAAAUCUCUCUAUGUAGUGUAUUUCUGAUAAUAUAUCCAAAACAAAAACACCAUCUAUCAAAAACUCUCCAUGGUAACAUCUGCAAGUAGCUCAUCAAUCAAAGAAUUCUCUAUUUCUCUGCCAAUCACCUGAAUGUCAUCUCCCAACUCCAACCACCCAUCAUCUUUUCCUGGGAACUUCUCAUAUUCCCUCCUUGCUUCCUUUUCCUGGCUAUCCAGUAACAUCCACAGCUCCUCCUCAAUCAGGUCAUGCCUCAGACUAAAACUAAACCUUUUUGCCACAGGUUUUGUCCAUGUCAGCACUCCCAUGGAUGGCUGUAAAAUCUCCAUCAGCCCAGAAUUAAUGCGAUCAAAUAGAAGCCUCCUUUCUGAUCUCUUCCAAGAAAUCUGCUCACCAUACUUUUUCUCCAGGGUCUCAAAGACAGAAUAACUGACUUGCGGAUGCCAUGUAUCAAAUCCCGCAUCCAAGUUUCUGUUGUGAAAACCUGCCUCGGUUAAUACAUCAAUGAGAUAGGAGAAAUCCCUACUCUCUUCAACUCUGAAUGGUCUCAUCAGGCCUUCAUUUUCUUCAGAAUCAUUUACAGAUCCUUCCCCAUUAUCUUCAUCGCUAGACACCAUCAUGUUGGAUCCUUCUGAAUAUGCCACAAACAAGGAUCUUAAAAAUAUAAAAAGGGGAAGAAAAGGAGGUGGGGGAAUACCUUAAAGGAAACAAAUUUGUAUAAAUUCAGAAGCAGCAGCACUAGUUUGCUAACCAUGUAAAGAAACAUUCACACUCUUAAAACAGUCAGAGCUGGAUGAAAUAUCCUUAUUGUAAAAUGGUUCCAAUACUGAAUUUGGACUAGGUUGAUAAGCCUCCUCAAAGGUCAUCAGUGACUCUGGGUCCGUGCCAGAGUUUAGUGAAGAAACAGACUCUUCAUCAGAGAUUCCAUUGGACAAUUCCUGUUGAACUGAGCUAUCUUCGAUAUGGCAAGGAGAAUCUUCCUCUCUUGUUGACAAAAUGCGGUUUCUUGAUUCUAAUUGAUGCUCUGGCAGAUCCUCUUCCCAUCCUUCAUUCUUGUGUCCCUCCUGAUUCAUCCAAACAUCUUGCAAAGUCUGAUUGUUUUGUCCAGAGGAUUUAGUAACUGCUAAAAUUUGGCCACCUGAAUCCCUCUCCUUGAGUGUGUUUUCCAGUUCAUUCUGAACUACAUAAUUAUAUCCCACUAGGCUAUUUUUUUCUGACUGCAAAUAAGAACUAGGUCGAGACUUUUUAUAGCUGGAGUCUGAGCUUCUACAAUCUGAACCAUCAUCUUUCUGGUCAAAGUCUUGCUCUCUUGACUUGUUCUGUACCAAAUUGAUAGAUUGAAGGUCACUUAUAUACCUGCCAUCUUCAAGAUGUUCAUAGUUUGUCCCGGUAUUGGGACUCCCAACUGCAUUAAAACAUGCAAGAAGGGAUUUGGAUCUUGGUAAGUCUCUGAUACACUCACUACUCCAACUAUCUGAACUGCUAAUGGCUAAGGGAGUACCUAAGUUCACAUCUCUACUAUAAGGAUCAACUUGCUUGCUCAGACCACACUUACCAAGCUUGUCAGGAAUUGAGAGCAUUACACCCGAAGUUUUGCUCCUACUAGCCAGUUCAACUUGUUGAAACCUUUUAGUCGUCUUCCAUCUUUCAGAGAUUUGCUUCUUGGCUUCCCUGACCACAUUUGGUCCAUCUGAAUUGUAAAAUUGUCUCUUCCUAUCAGACAAAAUAGGAAAUGAAAGUACUAUUGACUCAGAUUCUUUUGCAUAGAGGUCACUAUCACUAAUUUCAGAACUUGAUUCCUCUGAGGGCAUGCUACCUAUACCAUGGCCCACUUUUCUGGUUCUUUCCCUCAAAAAUCUAGACCUUCGCAUGACAGGUCUCAUGCCAUUGGCCAAGUUUUUACUCCUUUUCACUUGAGCAUAUAAAUUCCCAUUGCGAGAACUUAGAAUAUCAUUUUGCUUUCCAUUACCUGGAUGAGAUACAUUGUGCAACUGAGAAGAGAAAGAAAAGGAUCUGGUAGCACUGUCUGCAUUUCCACGGUUCGGUUUCAGGACAACAAUCUUGGCUGUUGGGAGAUAUGAUCUGUUAUUUGGCUUGAAUUUUGAUCUCGAAAACUUGUUUAUAUCAUCAAUGAAAAUUUCUCCUGAUGUUAUCCCAGUCCUACUCUGAACUUUAUUUAGUGAGUACCCUUGUUCGGUUUUCCUCCUAAGUUUCCUGCACAUGCUAAUGUCUCUGCAUUCAGAAGCACAUGGUGACUUUAAGACUGCAAUGGGCCCUGACUGUAAGCUCAAAUGCACAUCAUUUGACUCAUUGAUUUCCUUGGUAACCCAGAAAUCCGGUUUCCAAACAUAUUUUAGAAUAUUUUCUUUCUCCAAAUCAAUAGCUGUUGAUGAAUCAUGACAUUCCUUUGAACUUUGAAGUUUCUUAUCCCGCAAAACUCGCUUUGCUUCUGUGACUUUCAUCUGGACCUCUGAAGAACCCAUAUAAACUUCCUUCUUUUGAACUGGCAUGCUAUGGUGCUUGUUUUUCCUCAACAUGUGUAAUACUUGCAAGACAUUGUUAUGUCCAUCCUGCUCUUCAAUAUUCAAAUUAAAUGAAUGGCGUUUUGACCAUUUCUCUCUGACACCAAUAGAGGCAACUCUGCGCAGAUAAUUCUCAGAGAGCACUCUUGGUUUCUUCUGAACGCCCUGCUGUGGUGGCAUUUCAUCCAGCCCCAUUAAUCUCGACAUAACACUUGGCGCUGGCUGUUUAGACUCCCUUUUUGUUAGCAUGUCUUAAGCUACUUCAAAUAAGUACCUGAAGCACUCGCUAGAAAAUACAAUGGCGUACCUUCUUCAAGAGAUUUUCGAAUAUCAUGACAGGAAUCUUCACUUCCACUUAAUACCCAGAACUCGAUUUCUCCACCGCAUGCAAAAAUUUGAAUCAGAAUCGCUUCAUAUCCUUCAAAAUAAUGUUUUAGUAAAUAAAACAAUCUUUAAUCUCCGUCAAAUCUUGAUUAUAAAUCAAGAAAAGAAAGAGACACGCCGACAAAUUGACAAACAAUCCGCAGUCAACAGAUAUAGAAAAUAAAAAAACGUCAAAACCAAUUAAAUGUUGGCAAAUUUGAACACCCAAAAAGAAUAUUUAAAACCAAGAUUAUCUAAAACAUAAACCAGGAUUUGGGU